GGAAAGCCUAAAGAGAGACACAAAACAACAUGGGGAUUUCUUUCAUUGCAGCAUUCCUUGCCGUUCUCCUCUUCAUUCCAGCUAGUGUGUUUUCACAACACGUUCAUACAUUCCAUGAUAACAAUGGCGAAAAUACACCAUGGAAUGAGACAAAAGAGAACAUUGGAAGCAAGAAGAAGAAUAGUGGGCAAAAUGAUCAAGUGACCAAGAGAAGCCAUCCACUACAAGUUGCUGCAGGGUCCAGAUUGCCUGACUGCUCUCAUGCAUGUGGAUCCUGCAUACCAUGCCGAUUAGUGAUGGUUAGGUUUCUAUGUGCCUCACUCACUACUCAAUCUGAAACCUGCCCUAUUUCCUAUAGAUGUAUGUGUAAUGGAAAAUAUUAUCCCGUUCCAUAAACCAACCCCCAAUCCCCCUCCCCUUCCCUCCCCCCACAACGCAAAAAAAAAAAAAAAAAAAAAAAAAAAGGUU
Long non-coding RNA from Ziziphus jujuba (common jujube), 468 nucleotides. RefSeq lists it as uncharacterized. The transcript has 2 exons. The record is from RefSeq and is a predicted model, not a curated record. Lineage: Eukaryota; Viridiplantae; Streptophyta; Magnoliopsida; Rosales; Rhamnaceae.